ACUGGAAAUGUAUUCGAGGUUUGAAGCUGGCUCUUUCGGGAGUAUUGUGCUCGCCUUGAUUCCAAUCCAUUUCACACCUGUGCACAUAUUGUAGUUUUGGGUUCAGGGGGAUGGUCAUACAUCCUUUUUGUUCCUGACUCUACGUAUUUUUUACAUAUACUCUAUUAUAUGUUUAGAAUGUUAUUAAUUGCAAUAAAACGCAUUUAAAAACAACUUUCAACAACGGAUCUCUUGGCUCUCGCAUCGAUGAAGAACGCAGCGAAAUGCGAUAAGUAAUGUGAAUUGCAGAAUUCAGUGAAUCAUCGAAUCUUUGAACGCACCUUGCGCUCCUUGGUAUUCCGAGGAGCAUGCCUGUUUGAGUGUCAUGAAUCUCUCAAACUCAAAAGUUUUGUUAAUCAACACUUUUUGCAGUUUGGACUUGGAGGUCUUUGCUGGCGAUAAGUCAGCUCCUCUUAAAAUUAUUAGCUUGGGUCUUUGUAUGUUGGAUCCUUGGUGUGAUAAUUAUCUACGCCAUGAUGUCCCUUCAAACCCUGCUUAUAGUCGUCUUGUAAUAAAGACAAUACUCAUUUGACAUCUGACCUCAAAUCAGGUAGGACUACCCGCUGAACUUAAGCAU
This is a ribosomal RNA of 616 nucleotides. The stretch from base 212 to 365 matches the Rfam family "5.8S ribosomal RNA".